Ornithodoros turicata is the source of this 311-nucleotide long non-coding RNA. RefSeq lists it as uncharacterized. The transcript is spliced from 3 exons. The record is from RefSeq and is a predicted model, not a curated record. NCBI's taxonomy places the organism in Eukaryota, Metazoa, Arthropoda, Arachnida, Ixodida, Argasidae.
GGGACGAAUCUUAUCUGUUCCCCGGAGGUGCCGUGCUUAAUCUCGAAUGGCCAGAAACUGAAGAAGCGCACAUUUAUUGGACAGCGCACAUUCUGCUGCUCAUGAAUCUAGAUAGAUCUGCCUGGAAGUGAUAUCCGUUCGGACGAAACCAGAUCGCGCGGGAAACCAGAACUGCCUCAUCCCUUCUGCGUACUUCAGUGACAUAUAUGGAACUGCAUCAGAGGGGCCAUGCACAUGUACCCUAGUUGUGGCAGCCUGUUGCUGAAAUAUUGGAGCCCACAACCUACAACAGCCAGCCCACAAGAGCACAG